Molecule: ribosomal RNA, 466 nt
Filed under: uncultured bacterium
Lineage: Bacteria
Description: partial 16S ribosomal RNA
Rfam family: Bacterial small subunit ribosomal RNA
Source: RNAcentral
GAUGAACGCUGGCGGCGUGCUUAACACAUGCAAGUCGAACGGAAAGGCCCAAGCUUGCUUGGGUACUCGAGUGGCGAACGGGUGAGUAACACGUGGGUGAUCUGCCCUGCACUUCGGGAUAAGCCUGGGAAACUGGGUCUAAUACCGGAUAGGACCACAUUUUGGAUGGUGUGGUGGAAAGUUUUUCGGUGUGGGAUGAGCUCGCGGCCUAUCAGCUUGUUGGUGGGGUAAUGGCCUACCAAGGCGUCGACGGGUAGCCGGCCUGAGAGGGUGUACGGCCACAUUGGGACUGAGAUACGGCCCAGACUCCUACGGGAGACAGCAGUGGGGAAUAUUGCACAAUGGGCGCAAGCCUGAUGCAGCGACGCCGCGUGGGGGAUGACGGCCUUCGGGUUGUAAACUCCUUUCGCUAGGGGCGAAGCGCUAUGUGACGGUACCUGGAGAAGAAGCACCGGCUAACUACGUG